CAGUCAAAUGAGGUCUGUGAGGU
RNAcentral lists this non-coding RNA (23 nucleotides) under Cricetulus griseus (Chinese hamster). Lineage: Eukaryota; Metazoa; Chordata; Mammalia; Rodentia; Cricetidae. The record is from RNAcentral.